RNAcentral lists this long non-coding RNA (280 nucleotides) under Homo sapiens (human). RNAcentral's name for it is "HSALNT0345376". The record is from RNAcentral. Lineage: Eukaryota; Metazoa; Chordata; Mammalia; Primates; Hominidae.
AGUGCCACUCCCAUGGAAAGAAACAGGGAUUUUGACUAAGUCAGCAUAAUUGGAGCAGAUCUUCAGAGAGAAAAUGCAGAAUGUGAAUGGAGAAAGAUGCAAAUAUUGAACCUGAAGAAAAAGAAAGCUGAGAACCCUGUGUAGGAUGCCUGAACACCAGGGCUUGUUCCUGGCCCUGAAAAGCUCUUGGGGAAGAGGCUACCAAAGGAAUAAGAUAAUGCUGCCUAUCUUAGUGGGGCCCUGUGGAUGGCUCACAAACACAUUUGUAGGCCGAGUGCGG